Molecule: transfer RNA, 19 nt
Filed under: Mus terricolor (Earth-colored mouse)
Lineage: Eukaryota; Metazoa; Chordata; Mammalia; Rodentia; Muridae
Description: partial tRNA-Thr
Source: RNAcentral
AAGUGCGGCUUCUAAGGCA